UACGGAGGGUGCAAGCGUUGUCCGGAUUUAUUGGGUUUAAAGGGUGCGUAGGCGGCUUAUUAAGUCAGGGGUUAAAGACUAUUGCUUAACAAUGGCAGUGCCUUUGAUACUGAUAGGCUUGAGUACAGCUGAGGCAGAUGGAACGGGUGGUGUAGCGGUGAAAUGCAUAGAUACCAUCCAGAACACCGAUUGCGAAGGCAGUCUGCUAAACUGUUACUGACGCUGAGGCACGAAAGCGUGGGGAUCGAACAGG
RNAcentral lists this ribosomal RNA (253 nucleotides) under uncultured Rhodocytophaga sp. RNAcentral describes it as "partial 16S ribosomal RNA". It matches the Rfam family "Bacterial small subunit ribosomal RNA", at positions 524 to 776 of the family's 1533-position model. Lineage: Bacteria; Pseudomonadati; Bacteroidota; Cytophagia; Cytophagales; Rhodocytophagaceae. The record is from RNAcentral.